Non-coding RNA from Lactuca sativa (garden lettuce), 4535 nucleotides. The record is from RefSeq and is a predicted model, not a curated record. NCBI's taxonomy places the organism in Eukaryota, Viridiplantae, Streptophyta, Magnoliopsida, Asterales, Asteraceae.
AAAUAACCUUCUUCACUCAUCCCUCUGGCUUCUCUCAAAACAACAUACAUACAUGUUUCUUUGAAGAAUAGGGUUUUAUUUGGAGGUUCUUUUUCUUCUAUCGACACCACGUUUCCUCUUUCUUUCAUUCCCCGGCGUUCAACAAUCCUCUGCGUUUCCCUCUUCCUCUGUUAGGCAUUUUAAAUUAGGCUAACAUCUUCAGGCCUCCCUUCAUCACUGUGAUGGAUUCAUCGGGCUAUUGGGUUGUACCUUUAUUCUUUGUAGUUGUAGUAUGACGUCUGGUUCCGAUGUCAGUUUGGUUCACCAUCAUCAUCGAUCAAGAAAACGAGCACAUGUCUUUCUCCUCUGAUUUCUAGGCUGCCACCUAAUAGAAAGCACCCAUCAAAUGAAGAUGAUUGGUCAAACAAUAGAUUUUUAGAGAUUGAAAAUUGAUUUUUGGGGGCAUAAGGAAAGUAAGCUUGAAUCUUAAUCAAAUGAGGAUACUUCCAAGAGGUGUUGUGAUUUUUUUAACAAUUUAUAUGCUGAGCUUUUUGUUUCAAGGCCACUACAAAGAUACGCUUUUAGUUCCAUUGAAUCUCAAAUAAGGGUGUUGGGUGAUUUCUGUCUUCUAUCCACUGAAUUACAAAAGAUAUGAGUCUGUAACUCUGUUUGUUUAUUUCCAGAAAUACCCCUCUGUUCCUAAAAACUUGUGCUUAUCUGCAGGAAAUGAUGGGAUUAACUUACUUCAUGUUGAAUCAAUCAAAAAAGAUGCUGAAUAUUGCACAGAAACACCUUCAGUACUUAUUUAGUAUGCCUGGUAGAUCUUUACAUCAGGGAAGGAAAUGCCUCAUGGUGGAUUGAAAUGUUAAAAUCAAGUGGUCAAUUAAUAUAAAGAGGUGCUGAUGUAUACUUUCGUAUCUCUGAUGAGGAACCUCUUCAUUCAGCUGUGAUUAUUGUUGUUACCUUUUAUUUUAGCCAAACGAAUUAUGUUAAGAAAGUAUGGAUUUCAUCUCAUUCUUUCUGGUGGUGAUCUGUACAAGAAAUGGGAUCAGGUCAUUCUAUGAGUAAUGGUGCAAUAAAUCCAAAGGUUCCAAAAGAAUUUUUUUUAGUCCACAAAGAGAGCAAGAGAAACACACUUGCACCUGAUCAUGAAUCAAAUCCAUGGGCAUUUUAUGUUUGGGCAAUUUUAGUAGGAUCUUAUACAAUUCAACAUAUGCAAAGAGGCAGUAUGUUGUCUCAGUUAAAACAUCCGAAUACAUGUCUUUCAAAAACCAAUGGAAGAGUAUUUCUCCGGAACAGGCUAAAAGGUUUACCAAAAUUAGAGAAAGGGAGGGUUUGAUCGAGAAUGAUGUGGUAAGGACUUGACAGCUCAUUGUUGUUCUAUGAGGGUGAUGGUAAUCCAAAUGUAUGCAUUUUGCAUGAUAUAUUGUUGACUUACUCGUGCUACAACUUUGAUCUUGGUUAUUGCCAGGGCUUGAGUGAUUUCUCUCCACUAUCCUUACUCAUCAUGAAAGAUGAAUCACAAGCUUUCUGCUCAUUUCACAACUACUUCAAACAAAACGACUGCUUCUGUUUCUACUGGAUUCUGAUAUAAUUCAAAAAGGCAAGAAAUGAUGGGAUUAACUUACUUCAUGUUGAUUCAAUCAAAUAAAGAUGUUGAAUAUUGCAUGGAAAACACCUUCAGCAGUUAUUUAGUGGACCCUUUCUUAUUUAGCUUUUCUGUUAAUGUUUAAAGGUACAUUAUUGAAUCUCAGAAAAGGGUAUUGGGUGAUUAUGCCUUCAUGUUAUGAAAUUAUGAACUUGCUUUAUCAAAUUGCCACUGAUUACAACCUGACAAAGCAUGGAAACAAUAUGAAUUGAUGUGCUUUUUUAUCAAAAAAAAUGUUGAAUAUCGCAUGAAAACGCCUUCAGAACUUAUUUGGUACACCUGGAAAUGAUGGGAUUAACAUACUUGAUGUUGUUGAAUCAAUCAAAAAAAGAUGUGCUUUUAUUCAGUGAAUUGGGACAUUAGGGAAGGAAAUGUUAAAAUCAAGUGGUCAAUAUAAAGAGAGGGUGUUUGUGUGUACUUUCUUAUCUCUGAUGAGGACCUCUUCAUUCAGCUGUUGUGCUUGAACAAGCAUCUUAUUGUUGUUACCUUUUGUUUUUUUAGCCAAACGAAUUAUGUUAAGAAAGUAUGGAUUUCAUCUCAUUCUUUCUGGUGGUGAUCUGUACAAGAAACGGAGGGGAUCAGGUGUAAGAAUGCAGUGAAGUCUGAGAGAAACACUGUUUAAUGAUGCAAAGUUAAAGGUCUAUCAUUCCCUUCUCUUUACUUGUAUAGUGGAGGAGUCUGGCUUAUCUGUCAUACAUUUAAGGAGCAUAACUAUACCCUAAUCCCCGAAAAGAUUCUCUGAAAAUAUGCUCCUAUUAUGGAUAAAGAAUAAAUGGUCAAGCUUUUUGGAUUAUGAAGGCUUAGUCAUGGAUCCAGAUGCUUUAAAACAGAGAAUAUUCUAUAGGGGCAAAAAAAGGUUUAUGCAUUCUUACACAGAGGCAGUAUGUUGUCUCAGCUAAAACAUUAGAAUACAUGACUAUCAAAAACCAAUUGCAGGGUAUAAAAAGGUUUACAGAAAUUAGAGAAAGGAAGGGUUUGAUUGAGAAAGAUGUGGUAUGAAAAUAACCAUACAUUUCAAAUGUGGUUUUUUUUAUUUAAGUAUUUUAUUUUUGUUUUUAAGGUAAUGAUAUAUUGUUGACUUACUCAUUCUACAACUUUGAUCUUGGUUAUUGCCAGGUAACAUGCCACUAUUAUUAUUUAUAGAGUAAAUUACAAUUUCGUCCUCGUGAUAUUUCAAAACUUAUGGUUUUCAUCUAAGAUAUUUCAUUUGCUGCACAAGGGGUCAAUAAAGUAUAGUUUUGUUGAAAGUUUUCUCUCUAUGGUGGAACUGUUGGUAUUGCAAAAUGUUCGUGAAAUCCAAGUGAAAUAUGACUAUUUUGUCCCUCUCUUCUUUUAUCCUUCAUCCUGUAAACCUAAAAUUCCUCAACUUUAAUCUUAAACUCUAAUCAAACCAAUACCCAAAAAUUAAGCUAAAACUAAAACAAAAUUAAGAUCCAAGGUACCAACAAAUUUAUUAAAAAAAACCAUGAACAGUAAACUAAAAAGAUUGUUAGGUUAGAAUUAUUUUUAUUUUAUACUUUUGGAUCUUGAUUUUUCUUUAAUUUUUGGGUGUUGAUUGAAUUUGGUUUGAUUUUUAUGAUUUAAGAUGAAGGAGAUUUAGAAGAUGAAGAUAAGGGCAAAAAAAAGUCAUUUUACUUUAUCUAAUUAGUCAUUUUACUUUGUGUUUUUUAUUUAUUUAUUAUACACACAAUAUUUUGCUAAUAAUUGAAAUAAAGAAUUUUUAUCUCACAGAGCAUGAGUGAUCUCUCUCUCUCUCUCUCUCUCUCUCUCCAUUAUUAUUCAUCUUGAAAAAUAAUUCAUAAGCUUUCAGGUGUUUUAUUGGAAUGAUUAGGUCCAAAUUUCAACCGUGAUCAAAAAGCCAUGCACUCUCAACUAUUUCUUUGCGCUAUCAAAUGUCCUCCCUCUAUCUCAAUAUAUAACAAGGGUAUUUUGGUCUUUUAAUAAAGAGGGAGGAAUGAAUCAAAACUGGCAUUCCUUCCGCCUGCCCCUAUAAAUAAAUGGUUCAAGUCCAUCAAUAUAUGAAAUACCAAGGAAUUUGACAAAGUUGCAUUCCGUCCGAAUUUUCAACCAAAGGCACCAUUCAAUGGAAUCUCGAAUUCCAAUCCCACCGGUAUCCACAAUUCCAGUUCCUAGCUGUGAUUAUCAAACAUGGAAUUUCAAGAAAUCCAACAGAAGUGUAUUCCAUCCAAACUGUCAACCAAACACGUCAAGAAAUGGAAUCUCGAAUUCCAACUCUGCCGGAAUCCGCGAUUCCGUUUCUUAGCAUGUCUAUUAUUGUUUUGAUAGGGCAGCUGGUGGAACUAUUCAACAGCCCAUUACACAACUACUUCAGACAAAACAACUGCUUUCUGUUUCUGUUGGAUUCUGAUCCAACUCAAAAGGCAAGUAAAUUUACUCCUCUACCCUUGCUAAUUAAAAAGUAUCACAUGGUUUCAGGGUAUUUGAAUACGAUAAAACAUUAAGGUUAUGGGAGGUGUUACGGACAAGGUUUGCCACAUGAAUAAGGAAAGUCAAAGAUGGAAUUCUAAUGUUUGUCCAACAGUGACAAGGAAAAUGAAUCGCUUUGGAAAGAAUAUGAGAUUUUUCAUAGUCAAGGAAAUGUGUUUGAAGCUAGAUGAGGAUGUGAAAAUUACAUGGUGGACUUAGAUGCUACGGCCUGAUCAUCAUACUUCCACUUGCUCUUUUGUUACCAUUUAGGAUGCCUUUUUUGUGAAUUGUUUAGGCAUUUUAGUACAAAUGGAUGGGUGUUCUGUAGAGACCUUGCAGCGGUUGGGAAUCUGUUGUCACAAGCGGGAUUUAACCGUCCAAUUCCGGUAAAAUAUGAAGGUUUAAGCUGUUAGGAUUUAAUUAAAAGAAGCAUAAACAAAUAAUCAAAAACCGGUUAAUGUAUAAAUUGUGGUUGUGGGAA